AUUGAACGCUGGCGGCAUGCCUUACACAUGCAAGUCGAACGGCAGCAUGGAAGAGCUUGCUCUUCUGAUGGCGAGUGGCGAACGGGUGAGUAAAGCAUCGGAACGUACCGUGUAGUGGGGGAUAACGUAGCGAAAGUUACGCUAAUACCGCAUACGCACUGAGGUGGAAAGCAGGGGAUCGCAAGACCUUGCGCUAUACGAGCGGCCGAUGUCAGAUUAGCUAGUUGGUAGGGUAAAGGCCUACCAAGGCGACGAUCUGUAGCGGGUCUGAGAGGAUGAGCCACCACACUGGGACUGAGACACGGCCCAGACUCCUACGGGAGGCAGCAGUGGGGAAUUUUGGACAAUGGGCGAAAGCCUGAUCCAGCCAUGCCGCGUGAGUGAAGAAGGCCUUCGGGUUGUAAAGCUCUUUCGGCUGGGAAGAAAUCGCACAGGCUAAUACUCUGUGUGGAUGACGGUACCAGCACAAGAAGCACCGGCUAACUACGUGCCAGCCGCCGCGGUAA
RNAcentral lists this ribosomal RNA (506 nucleotides) under uncultured bacterium. RNAcentral's name for it is "partial 16S ribosomal RNA". It matches the Rfam family "Bacterial small subunit ribosomal RNA", at positions 30 to 523 of the family's 1533-position model. The record is from RNAcentral.